This is a long non-coding RNA of Camelus dromedarius (Arabian camel), 5709 nucleotides long. RefSeq lists it as uncharacterized. The transcript is spliced from 3 exons. NCBI's taxonomy places the organism in Eukaryota, Metazoa, Chordata, Mammalia, Artiodactyla, Camelidae. The record is from RefSeq and is a predicted model, not a curated record.
AGGAAGGAAGAAGGGUGGUGUCAGCACGGGAGGAAGUGGUCUAGUGAGAGGAGGGCAGAUGGAGGAAGCAGGGAGGAUGAAGCAAGGCCCAGCUUAGGAGAAGACUUAUCCCCUGAAAUCCUGUGGAGAGAAAAUGUAAGAGGUCGGGACUUUGCAGUGCAUGGAAUGCAGCCUUGAGCUCUAUGGGCUUUGCAAUAUUAAAGGAAAGCGAGAACCUCAGCCUAGGUGAAAAAUAGGAAGACUCAUUCACUUGGUUCUUCUCUGACUGGAUACAGUAACAGGUACCACUGGAAUCCCUACCUGUGUCUGAGUCUAUGGCACAUUGAUCGGUCUUUUCCUUUAUGAUGGCCUGAGGAUAAUGCCCCACGGUGGGAGGAAGAACACAAAGAAGGCCUUCAAGGAGAGGGAGAGGUGCAGCUCAGCCACCAGGUCACUGUGAUAGCAACACUGGGUCACCUGGGAUUUCUCUAUAAACAUAAAAAAGAGCCUUGCAAAAGAAACUUUUUAAAAUCUACAUUGGGGUGCGGGUGCAGGGAUGUUAUAGUAAGGGACGGUGAAGAGUUGAGAGGAAAGAAAACCCCCAGAUGCAGCCUGGUAAGGGAACAGGAGAAUUGAAGCUAAGUUGGAAGUGAAAGAGGCAGACUGCUCUCAUGCUUCUGAGUUUGAAUUUGAGGGCAGGGUGCAGUAAGGAGGUUCACUGCAGGUGUGAGUUGACCACCUCCUCAGGUUCCACACUCUGGUGAGUUGACCCUCUACUCUCCAUCUCUCGCCCCUUCUCUUUUCAGCUCAACCAACCCUAGCCUAGACAUUGAAAACACACACACACACACACACACACACACACACACACACACACACACACACACACACACACACACACACACACAUCCCACAGAAGACACUCCACGCUUGACCUGGGGUGAGUCUUGCUCUGAAGACCAGUUACCUUGAGGUCCCUGGGGAUGGAAGUUGAUGAUCUUUGGGAAUGGAGGUUGAUGUUUCUGUGCUUCUUCCUCACUGGUUUUAAUGGAUGACACAUCCCACUGAAAUGCACAGAAAUGGAAGGAAUAUUUGCAAGAUAUAGAUGCCAUGAGAAGGAGCCAUUUGGAGCCCUGGCAAAUUCUGCAUUUGACUCUCGUCCUUUCCUGUUCAGAAGUUGAUUUCCCAGCUUGGGCAUCACCAUUUGCUUCUGUCUUUUCCCCAGGUAUCUGACCCUUGGAUGUUUUGCAUCUCAGGCUUACUUCUACUAGAGGAAAAAAUGAAGGCACAUAACAAACCAAGCAGGCUUGCUGCUUACUAACCACUCAAGGUUUGGUAUGGCAAUAAGCCAAUGCUAAUGUCUCAAUUCAAGGUUUGGGAUUACAAGUGAAUUUGAGGUCAAGCUAACAACUGAGAAUAGAAGUGGAAAUAAAGGUGGGAGGGGAAGAGAAGGGUGGGGCAGGGCAGUGGUGGGCGGUGGUGGAUGGGAAAUGAAAAGAAGAGACUAAGAGGUGGCAGCCUUCCCUUCUUAGCUGCUGGAAUCACACCUAUGGUAGAAACAGUGAGGGUCCGAGAGAGAAGAGAAGCAUUGGUUUCUAAUCAUUGGCUUGCAGAACAUGUCAGGCAGCUAGUUACCCAGGUUGGAAAUAGGGGUUAAAAAAUCGGGAGAAGCGAAUGAGAGAAAAUCUUGCCCGGCUGAAGAGGGCGGGAGGGCUUCUGCAUCCUGGGGAUUGUUGUGAAUGCGAACUUUCUCCAAGCUGAUUAAAUGGAAUUAACUCCACAGCCUGGCAUCUUACAACCUCCUGUUGCUCUCAUCUCUCCAAACCCUUGUUCUACCUCUUCAGAGCCUCCUGGAACCCUGAGGAAUUUAUUAAUGAUGUCCAAUUAUGGAAAAUUUCAGGUUUUUAAUCAACUUCAGAUGCACAGCUGAAGGGUUCAGCUCAACCCCCCUGAGAAAAUGUACAUUAAACAAGAUUUCAGAGAACUGCACACUUGCUUCCCACAUCCAGCCCUCUCCCCGCUUCCAAUCAUCUAUAGCAUCUCUGCCCCUGCUCCGCACCAUUUCCCCUCUGCCCUCAUCUUCCCACCCCCAGCUUUCGAAAAGAGCUGUGAAUUUCAGCUGCCCCUUGUUUUAAAAACUGCAGAACACACGGCAUUGCUGACUGAUUGACCCAGCUGGCUUCUGUCCAAGCCCUCCCCAGCCCUAAUUUGUGGCUUUCAUCUAGGUGUGCUGGAAAGACUUUUCCUGACCAUUUCCACCCUCGGUGACUGCUAGCAAACAAUCUUUGUUUCCUCUUUGAGGAUAUUUUUGAAGAUAGAUUAGAGGUUUGAAAAAACACUUGGAAUAACUCUUUAAACAGGUUUUCCAAACACUGGUGGAAGGAAACAAAGGAGGUGGGUGGGAACAUCAGCCCUGAAUAAUGGUUCUAUUUCUCAUCCUGUGUUGCCUCAGGCCUGCAUAGCUUGUAUUCUCCCCGGCCUGUGGAAACUUUGCAUACUUCCGGGGCUUGGUCUCUGCAGAGGCUGCUCGUCACCCUGGGAGAGACGGGCCCUCCACCAGCUGCUGUGGGAAUGGCACAUCUGGCAUUCCAGCAGUCACUUCCUCUCCAGGGAAAAGCCUAGGUUCCACCCUGUGCAGUUUCACGAAGUGUUGCCGGGGCUCCUGGGAAUGGGCAGGAGCGGUUGUGAGUGGUGAACAUCCUCCCAAGCUCCUGUGGGGCCUGCAGGCUCUGCUCAGCUGAUUAAACAGUCUUCACCUGGGGCAGAUUUUUAAAGAGACUACUGCAUGACAUGGCAAGGUUUUUCCAUAGGUGAAAAUUCUAUUUAACAUCUAGGUAGGCUGGAAUAUUGAUCUUCAGAGGUAGCCGCUUGAACCUUGCCUCUUAGACGAAGCAGUCUCCAUCCCCUUGAGCUGUCUGGGAUCUCUUUAAUAAGCCAAGAUUCUUUUGGUUGCAGGUGACUGGAAAGAAACUUGAUAUAGAUUGGGCAAAUGAGGGCGUUUGUCAGUUGCUGAAAUCAGGGUGGAAAAAUAGCUAGGUCUCAGGAAUGAAUGGAACCUGGGGUGUGCUAGAUUUGGCUUAUCCUGGUUUUUGAGAGCUGAUUGUUCAAUUUACAGGAAUUUCAUGAGCUAGUUGUUAAACACAGCCAUUAUUGAAAAUUAUAUAAACUCAUGAGUAAAAAUUAUAUUAAACACAAUGAUAAUAAAUUCUUAAAACUCCUCACUUCGUAAUUAUUUCACUGCACUUUGCUAUUAUCUCUGCUCUUGAGAUUCCUUGUAUCUAUUAUAUCUCUCUGGUGGAAACACUACAGAAUGGUGUGCUAUUGCCCACACCUUUGCAACUCUGUUUUUCAGAGUUGGAAAGUUGGAAGCUUGAAAUUGACUGUGGUGGAAGCAUUGACACCACAGAAAUUCACAAACACUACAAAUCAGGGCUUGAUCUACUGCUUUCUUGGUUGUAUAGUCUCAACUUAAGGAUGUGAUGAAAAAAGUGUUGAUAAUGCAAGUUACACUUAAAAAAAGUAUGUUAUGUCUGUAGUUGUUACAUUGUGAAUGGCACCCCCCAAAAUAAGAAAACGUUCUAUUUUUAGAGAACUAUUCUGUGCAAUUUUUGAUCUAGGACAGAAUUGCAAAUGGCUCUUACCUGGAACAUAUAUCAUUAGGUGUGCCUGGCUGGUAGGAACUUUAUGGUUUUUAUUGCCUGUGUUUUACCUGGGGAGAGACAACCACUAUCCUCUCUUCACUGUACUGCAUUGCUUUUCUUGUUGGUGGGAGAGAGAUUUGGGGGAUUAUCUUGGUGCCUCUCAAAUCACACCAUUUUAUAUACACACACAUAUAUAUAUAUAUAAAUACACAUAUAAUACUACACCAUUAUAUAUAUUUAUAUUCUCAUUUAUAUCAUAUAUAUUUAUAAUCUCAUUUAAUUCUUAUAACUAAAUGCAUUUCUUAGAACUACAUUGCUUUCCUUGUUGGUAAGAGAGAGAUUUCGGGGUUAUGUUGGUGGUCCUCAAAUUCCAAGCCAGUAUCUGUCUAUCUCCAAAGAGUCAGCAGCAGGUUUGAUGUGUGCAUAUUUGUUCUCCGUCAGAACCUUUAGCCCACGGCCUUUAUCAUCACUGUUUUACACUGAUGCUCGCAGACAGUUUCCCAACCUGGGUCAUGAGCAGAGCAUUUCAUGAAGUUCUUGUUCAGAAUUCUGAUUACAGAUGAUAAUCUCUGUGAACCUCCUUAAAGGAGAGCCACUUCUACUGGAAAGGUGUUGGUGUUCCUGUGGAUUGGCACAGCUGUUGGGGUGGGGCAGGGUAUGGUGGGGCUGGGAAGGUGAUAGAUCAUCCACAGAUCAUGCAACCCAGGAUUACAGAAGAGGUCACUGAACCCAUUAUUUUGCCUCCACACCGUUUCACUGAAACCAUUUAAAGAGUAGCGUAUAAAAGGGAGACCAAAAAAAAAUUGUAUUCAAGAGUACAUUCCAGUGACUUAUCUAAAUCUUUCCUUCUAUACAGUAAAUUGAUUUCUUCUUAUUCAGUUUUCUAGGCAUAUGCAAAAAUAAAAAAUCAUUGUGUUUUAGAUAUUGAAGCUUCCUAAAACUCUGUUCAUCUUCUCUUCUGAGCAAACUUUUUUUUCUUUAAACCUUUUAAUGUUUCCCAUAAUGAUUUCAAGACAUCACUUUUCAGACAUUUAGUUUUGUCUUUAAGACAAAGGGCCACUUUAAUUUUUCUAAUUUUUUUUAAAAAGAUUUGGCCUCCAUGAAACCUUUUGUACCUUCUCCUUUGCUGAUUUCUCCCUUGUCUGAAAUUUUUAAAAGUUUAUGUUCGGUGCUACAUAAUUUAUUUGUUUCUGUUUGCUUCCUGUUUGGAGCUCUUUUCUGCACUCAAGCAAAGUAUAAGCUAUGGAGGGCAUGGAUAAUAACUUUUACUUUUCUGUCCCUUAAUGUCUGCUAAAGUGCCAGAAAAGUAGCUAACAUUCAGAAUGAAUUUGUUGAUUUGUUGGUAUGUUGGCUGACAGCUGUAAGAACUCUUCUUCUUUCUAAUGUCCACACACUUCUGAUUUACCACUUUCUCUUCUAUUGACAAUGGGAGAAAUCAAAUGAAAAAGCUUAUUAGAACUGUGGACAAAGUAAGGGUAACUUAGCUUUGAGUGAUAUUCUGAAAGAUCUCUUAUGAAUGAAAUUCAUGACUAUUAGAUAUAUUUUAUAUUUCUAUUUUGUCUACUCACAAUCUCCCUCAAUUUCUUUCCUUAUGUUUGGUCAUUACCAUUACGGACAAAGAAUGUUGCCUGCCAUUCCAGUAAACAAUGAAUGUUGCCCACCAUCAAGAAUCAAGAUAAAGCCAUGAGCCGCUGCAGCCCCCCAACCCCACCCCCACCCCCAGCCCUCCACAGUGCACCAACAGAGAAAUUCAGGAUGGAGAAAAAGAGAAUACUGGCCUUAGAUGGUUGAGAAAGAUGCAUAUCAAAGGAGUAAUUCAAUGAGCUCAGACUCUUGCACCUUCCCAUACAUAGAAAAGCACUAAAAUCAUUAACUCCAGAUGUUUGGUUUUUGUGAUCAGCAGUAAUCUUUUGAUGAUCCAUUAUAUAUAUAUAUCUAUACAUAUCUAUAUUUUUUUUUCCCCAGCAAAAACUCCUAUAUGUCCUGGCUCCCCCCUUCCCUCUUUGGAACAGUUCCUCAGAGCUAUCUGAGAGGAUGUCUCCCAGGCUGUAGUCCUCAGUAAUGUCCCUGAAUAAAACAUAAUUCUCAA